UUGAACGCUGGCGGCAUGCUUUACACAUGCAAGUCGAACGGCAGCACGAAAGAGCUUGCUCUUUUGGUGGCGAGUGGCGAACGGGUGAGUAAUGCAUCGGAACGUACCGAGUAAUGGGGGAUAACUGUCCGAAAGGAUAGCUAAUACCGCAUACGCUUUGAGAAGGAAAGUGGGGGCUCUUCGGACCUCACGUUAUUCGAGCGGCCGAUGUCUGAUUAGCUAGUUGGUGGGGUAAAGGCCUACCAAGGCGACGAUCAGUAGCGGGUCUGAGAGGAUGAUCCGCCACACUGGGACUGAGACACGGCCCAGACUCCUACGGGAGGCAGCAGUGGGGAAUUUUGGACAAUGGGCGCAAGCCUGAUCCAGCCAUGCCGCGUGUCUAAAGAAGGCCUUCGGGUUGUAAAGGACUUUUGUUAGGGAAGAAAAGGAUAGUGUUAAUACCAUUAUCUGCUGACGGUACCUAAAGAAUAAGCACCGGCUAACUACGUG
Molecule: ribosomal RNA, 489 nt
Filed under: uncultured bacterium
Lineage: Bacteria
Description: partial 16S ribosomal RNA
Rfam family: Bacterial small subunit ribosomal RNA
Source: RNAcentral